GUCACUCAUAAUUGUUGAGUACAUUGAUGAAGUUUGGAAGGACAAAUCAACACCUUUGAUGCCUAGUGAUCCUUACAAGAGAGCUCAUGCUAGGUUUUGGGCUGAUUAUAUUGGAAAAAAGAUUUAUGAUGGUGGAAUGAAAAUUUGGAGCUCAAAAGUGGAAGAGCACAAAACAGCCAAUAAAGAUUUCAUAGAGUGUUUGAAAGUGUUAGAAGGUGAAUUGGGAGACAAACCAUACUUUGAUGGAAAAAAUUUUGGACUUGUGGAUAUGGCUUUUAUUCCUUAUUAUAGUUGGUUUCCUGUUUAUAAAAAACUUAGCAAUUUAAAUAUUGAAGCAGAGUGUCCUAAAUUUGUGGCAUGGGCCAAAAGGUGUAUGCAAAAGGAGAGUGUCU
This 392-nucleotide unclassified non-coding RNA is filed under the name Hevea brasiliensis (rubber tree). The record is from RNAcentral. Lineage: Eukaryota; Viridiplantae; Streptophyta; Magnoliopsida; Malpighiales; Euphorbiaceae.